CCCAUCAACAAUAUAAAAGUGCUCCUGUUUCUCCACAACCUCACCAACAUCUGUUGACUUUUUAAAUAAUCGCCAUUCUGACUGAUGUGAGAUGAUAUCUCAUUGUGGUUUUCAUUUGCAUUUCUUUGAUGAUCAGUGAUGUUGAGCUUUUUUUCAUGUUUGUUGGCUGAAUGUAUGUCUUUUGAGAAGUGUCUGUUCAUAUCCCUUGUCAACUUUUUAAUGGGUUUUUUUCUUGUAAAUUUACUUAAGUUCCUUGUAGAUUCUGGAAAUUAGACCUUUGUCAGACGGAGAGAUUGCAAAAAUCUUCUCCCAUUCUGUAGGUUGUUCGCUUUGAUGACAGUUUCUUUUGCUGUGCAGAAGCUCUUUAAUUAGAUCCCAUUUGUCAAUUUUUCCUUUUGUUGCAAUUGCUUUUGGUGAUUUCAUCAUAAAAUCUUUGCCAAUACCUAUGUCCUGAAUGGUAUUGCCUAGAUUUUCUUCUAGGGUUUUUAUAAUGUAUAGUUUUAUACAAUUUAUAGUCUUGGGUUUUACAUCAUAAGAUGUUAGGAAGGGAUCCAGUUUCAAUUUUCUGCAUCUGGCUAGCAGUUCUCCCAGCACCACUUAUUAAAUAGGAAAUGCUUUCCCUAUUGCUUUUACUUGGUUUGUCAAAGAUCAGAUGGUUGUAGAUGUGCAGUUUUAUUUCUGAGUUCUCUAUUCUGUUCCAUUGGUCUAUGUGCCUGUUUUCGUACCAGUACCAUGCUGUUUUGGUUAGUGUAGCCUUGUAGAGCUUGAAGUUGUGUAGCCUGAUGCCUCCAGCUUUGUUCUUUUUGCUUAGGAUAGUCUUGGCUCUCAGAGCUCUUUAUUGGUUCCAUAUGAAUUUUAAAAUAUUUAAAUUUUUUUUUCUACUUCUGUGAAUAAUGUCAAUGGUAGUUUAGUGGGAAUAGCAUUCAAUCUAUAAAUUGCUUUGGCACUAUGGCCAUUUUCACAAUAUGGAUUCCUCCUACCCAAAUGUAAACACAAGUAUCAAUAGCCAAGUUGACCAAGUGGAAGAAAGAAUAUCAGAGCUUGAAGACUAUCUUGCUGGAAUAAGGCAGGCAGACUAGAUUAGAGAAAAAAAGAAUGGAAAAGAACGAACAAUGGGACUACGUAAAAAGACCUUUAGAUUCAAGAACUAUGAGACUAUGUAAAAAGACCUUCAGAAGAGAUUCUGUGCUAAAUGAACACAAAUGUGAACCAGCCAAAGACUCAUCAUGAGAUGUAAAUUUGGAUACAAGACUUAAUAUUUUAUUAAAGUUUUAGGGUACAUGUGCACAACGUGCAGGUUACAUAUGUAUACAUGUGCCAUGUUGGUGUGUCUGUAACAGCAGGUUAAGGAGUCCUUCAAUCAUAAAGGAAGACAUUGAAAUAAGUUAAACUACCUAUUGCCUGUUUUCAAAUAGCCCAUUGGAGUCUUACUGUACAAUGACAACACAAGCAGAAAUUGUCCCA
This 1464-nucleotide long non-coding RNA is filed under the name Pan troglodytes (chimpanzee). Its description in RNAcentral is "long non-coding RNA NONPTRT014545". The record is from RNAcentral. Lineage: Eukaryota; Metazoa; Chordata; Mammalia; Primates; Hominidae.